Molecule: ribosomal RNA, 253 nt
Filed under: uncultured bacterium
Lineage: Bacteria
Description: partial 16S ribosomal RNA
Rfam family: Bacterial small subunit ribosomal RNA
Source: RNAcentral
UACGUAGGGGGCGAGCGUUGUCCGGAGUUACUGGGCGUAAAGGGCGUGCAGGCGGUGCGGUAAGUUUAGCGUGACAGUCUCCGGCUUAACUGGAGAAGGCCGCUGAAAACUGCUGGACUUGAGGGCCAGAGAGGGACAUAGAAUCCGGGGUGGAGUGGUGAAAUGCGUAGAUAUCCGGAGGAAUACCAAAGGCGAAGGCAGUGUCCUGGCUGGCAACUGACGCUGAGGCGCGAAAGCUAGGGGAGCGAACAGG